UACAGGGGGGGCAAGCGUUGUUCGGAAUUACUGGGCGUAAAGGGCUCGUAGGCGGCCAACUAAGUCCGACGUGAAAUCCCAAAGCUUAACUUUGGAACUGCGUCGGAUACUGGAUGGCUUGAAUUCGGGAGAGGGAUGCAGAAUUCCAGGUGUAGCGGUGAAAUGCGUAGAUAUCUGGAGGAAUACCGGUGGCGAAGGCGGCAGCCUGGACCGACAUUGACGCUGAGGAGCGAAAGCUAGGGGAGCAAACGGG
RNAcentral lists this ribosomal RNA (253 nucleotides) under uncultured bacterium. Its description in RNAcentral is "partial 16S ribosomal RNA". It matches the Rfam family "Bacterial small subunit ribosomal RNA", at positions 524 to 776 of the family's 1533-position model. The record is from RNAcentral.